ACGACAAUCGGUGGUUUUUUCGACCCUCCUUCCCC
Molecule: ribosomal RNA, 35 nt
Filed under: Quercus aucheri
Lineage: Eukaryota; Viridiplantae; Streptophyta; Magnoliopsida; Fagales; Fagaceae
Description: partial 25S ribosomal RNA
Source: RNAcentral